GAAAUUGAAAAGAACUUUGAAGAGAGAGUUCAAAAGGGCGUGAAACCGCUUAGAAUAAAACGGACGGAGCCGUCUGUGACCGUUCGGAAUCAGUCGAAUCGACGCGCGAAUUCGAGUCGACGCGUAUACGGAACGCAAGUCCCGUCGUCUCGUAUAGAACGUUCGUUCGAUGCAUUUCCGAAUGGUAAGCGCCGCGACCGAUGUCGAAGGCUAUCGAGACUGCGAGAUUGAGGUCGAGCGCAUUCGCGCGUCUCGUUACCAGUCUUUCAGAUUUCGUUAGACCCGCUGGCAUCGAGAUAAAACGAUGAUGUACGUCGGUGAUAAUACACUCGCCUGUUACGAUGGAAGUUGGGCCGUACGGCCGUCGCUUGCUCGCAGGUUACGGUUCGUAUCCGGUCUUUCCGCAAGUCGUCGGCGAUGCUCCGUCGUACUGGUGUCCGCGGCGUCUGAGUCGGUCACCCGUCCGACCCGUCUUGAAACACGGACCAAGGAGUCUAACGUAUACGCGAGCUAAUGGGUGGAAAACCCAUAAGCGCAAUAAAAGUAAAAGCCGUUUCGGACGGCCUAGGUACGAUCCCGAAUACGAGACAAUUAUUCGGGCGCAGUACCGUCCCGUCCCGACCGCUCGUCGGUAGGGCGGAGAUAGAGUGCAUACGUUGGGACCCGAAAGAUGGUGAACUAUGCCUGAGCAGAGCGAAGCCAGAGGAAACUCUGGUGGAGGUUCGUAGCGGUUCUGACGUGCAAAUCGAUCGUCAGACUUGGGUAUA
This 767-nucleotide ribosomal RNA is filed under the name Xiphinema costaricense. RNAcentral describes it as "eukaryotic LSU rRNA". It matches the Rfam family "Eukaryotic large subunit ribosomal RNA", at positions 359 to 919 of the family's 3401-position model. The record is from RNAcentral. Lineage: Eukaryota; Metazoa; Nematoda; Enoplea; Dorylaimida; Longidoridae.